UUUUUAUCCAGAGAGGUGGAGGGACCGACCCGUUGAAACCUCAGCAACCGCCACGCAUGGGAGCAUCGUGUGGAAGUGGUGCUAAUUUCGGCAGAGUGCGAGUCCUCUUUUUAAGAGGGCAAACUUCUGAGAGAUGAGAA
This 140-nucleotide non-coding RNA is filed under the name Anaerolineae bacterium. RNAcentral's name for it is "SAM-I sequence". It matches the Rfam family "SAM riboswitch aptamer (S box leader)". From Rfam's summary of the family: The SAM riboswitch is found upstream of a number of genes which code for proteins involved in methionine or cysteine biosynthesis in Gram-positive bacteria. The record is from RNAcentral. Lineage: Bacteria; Bacillati; Chloroflexota; Anaerolineae.